CCUACGGGAGGCAGCAGUGGGGAAUAUUGGACAAUGGGCGCAAGCCUGAUCCAGCAAUGCCGCGUGAAUGAUGAAGGCCUUAGGGUUGUAAAAUUCUUUCGAUAGGGAAGAGAAUGACGGUACCUAUAUAAGAAGCUCCGGCUAACUCCGUGCCAGCAGCCGCGGUAAUACGGAGGGAGCUAGCGUUUUUCGGAAUUACUGGGCGUAAAGAGCAUGUAGGCGGCUUAUUAAGUUGAAAGUGAAAGCCCAGGGCUUAACCCUGGAACUGCUUUCAAAACUGAUAAGCUAGAGGAUGAUAGGGGACAGUGGAAUUCCUAGUGUAGAGGUGAAAUUCUUAGAUAUUAGGAGGAACACCGGUGGCGAAGGCGACUGUCUGGAUCAUUACUGACGCUGAGAUGCGAAAGCGUGGGGAGCAAACAGGAUUAGAUACCCUGGUAGUC
This 440-nucleotide ribosomal RNA is filed under the name uncultured bacterium. RNAcentral describes it as "bacterial SSU rRNA". It matches the Rfam family "Bacterial small subunit ribosomal RNA", at positions 338 to 795 of the family's 1533-position model. The record is from RNAcentral.